This is a long non-coding RNA of Amphiprion ocellaris (clown anemonefish), 6138 nucleotides long. NCBI's taxonomy places the organism in Eukaryota, Metazoa, Chordata, Actinopteri, Pomacentridae. The record is from Ensembl.
AGGGUUACUCACUGUUCUCUUGCUGCAACGUCAGGGGCACGCCCCGCUUCCCGUUUGCCUCACUUCCUGUUUGCCUCACUUCCUGUUUACCAUUGCUGACAGGGUCACUGUUGGGUGUCCAUAGCCAGAGAGCUGAGCCGCUCGCUGGCUGCUGUAUGUCCAGUUCGAGCCGUGAGCCGCUCGUGAGCCGUUACUGGCUGUUACCGUGGCUGCCGGUUGCUCCCCGUUCCCUUGUGGUGGACAAAAUUUACUGAUUGGCGGGCCGCCGCUUGUCUGGAGCUGUGCUGGCUACACAGGGUCCCAAACAAGCUGUGGGCCUCCGGUGGCGGGGACUGGUGUCUUCGGGUGGUGGGAACCCCUUCCUGUGUGGUGUGCUGCUCAUCCCCUGGUUGUUUUAUUUAUUUCUUCACUCAGGUGUGUGUGUGUGUGUGUGUGUGUGUGUGUGUGUGUGUGUGUGUGUGUGUGUGUGUGUGUGUGUGUGUGUGUGUGUGUGUGUGUGUGUGUGUGUGUGUGUGUGCGCGUGCGCAUGUUCACGUUCACGUGUGAGUGGGGUGAUUUCUCCUGGGCUCCCUUGUGAUGCCCGUUGGCCCAAACCUCCACCAGAGAGCCCCCAGCUCUGAUUAGUCCCCAAACCCGUCAUUUAACAAUCUCGUGUGAAUGGUUGUUUUUUUUUUUUUUUUUUUUUUUUUUGGUUUUAAACUGAGUAUUUUUAGUAUUAAAUAAAAUUUGUAUUUUUUGUCUGCACUGGAAUCAUAUCUCUUGCCUCAUCAGUGGAACGAACCUGAGUUGCCUUCUCGUUAGUGGUGGUUAUAAUUCCCUGGGUGAAAGUCCCAGGGUGGCGUUGUCUGGCCAGUGUCUACAUUCAGUAAUUGUAGCACGUUAGUUUAUCCCCGACCCCUGCGCUCGCCACACUUGUUUUAUGCUUACCGCGUCCGCGAGGUCCGUGCGGCUCCGUGCGGAAAAAUUACGUCAUUUUCGCACCCCGCCCCCUCCGGCGGCCUUUCCGUGCGGAAAAUUUUCGCUCCACACACCUCAACAUUUUUCUAACCAACGCGGACGGAGCCGCACGGAAAAACAUGGCGGAGGGCCAGGACCUACUCGUAGCUGAAGUCUAGAAAUACGUGCACCUAUAUGAUUCAUCUCACAGAGAUCACCGUGGUAACCGGGUUAUGAACUAUUCAUGGUGUGAAAUAAAACUAACUGCUGAAAUGCUUUUAUUUGGUAAAAUGCCGUGUUGUAAGUGGUGUAAACCAUGGCAAACUUCUUCUUCUCUAGUUUAGUACCAGAGUAGACCAGGUGUCGCUGUGUCGAUGUCCACAGCUUGUUAGUGCUUCUUCCAGUGCUGCUCCUCCCUCGCUGUUCUCUCUACUGUAUGCCAUGGUACACAAUGUUUUUUUCCUGGGGAGGGACGAGGACUUAGUGCUAGACUUUAAUCCCCUUUCAUGACCAUGAUGAGUAGUUACCAUUAUUAUUGUUCUGAUUAUGAUGAUUUAUCGUUGUUCUUCUAUAUUACUGAAUGUUUUCCUUUCUUCUGUGUGUUUGAGCUACACUGCCCCCGGCAGUUUGGAAGCAGACUUCUUCUUCCCUAGUUUAUUACUAGAGUAGACCAGGUAGACGUGUGUUAGGGAUACACUGCCCCCUGCAGUUUGGGAGCAGACGCGCACGGCCCGCAAUAGCAUAGCUGCAAGUGUAGCUUCUGAUAGCCGUGCCUUAGCAGCUCCCGAGCAGCCGGGAAGUCAAGGUAGCUGGAUGACAGUUCGUAGGAAACGUAGUCCUAAACUCAACCCGCUGUCCCGGCACACCACAAACCCCUUCACGUUUCUAAUCGUUUUUCCCCACUCAACGACACACCCGCUGAGAAACAAACUCUGAUCAUUGGCAGCUCCAGGGUUGCCACCUUUCAGAAAUUAAAAUAAAGGACGGCCACCACGGCUUCUUGGGGCCACAGUUCAGUAAAGUUGGAAAAAUAUUCACAGAUUCAGACUUCCAGCAUUCCAGCAUUAGAUAUACUUUGUCAAAAGAUAAACAAUGCCUCUUUCCCGUCGUUGUAAGGCAGACAAUGUGCUACAUUGUCUUACUUAUCAAAAGUAGCUGUCUUUCAAGCUGCAGUUUACUGAACUACCACCCAAGGAGUGGUAAUAUUUAAUUUUGAAAAAAGCACUUAGCCUUACUUAAAGCUUUAAGUAUGGAGUCACAGGAGUGUCACAAUAAAAUAUAAAUAAAUAAGGAAAUAAAUGUGGAAAUAUAAAGAGAAAUAAAUAAAUAAAUGUGGAAAUAUAAAGAGAAAUAAAUAAAUAAAUGUGGAAAUAUAAAGAGAAAUAAAUAAUUGUGGAAAUAAAUGUGGAAAUAUAAAGAGAAAUAAAUGAAUAAAUAAAUAAACAUAAAGAGAAAUAAAUAAAUAAAUAUAAAGAGAAAUAAAUAAAUAAAAAGGGAAAUUUUCUCUUUGGUUUUCCCUUUUCUCUUUUUUUCCUUUUAUUUUUCCAGUUUGUCAUUGUCUUUUCCGUUUUGCAUUUGCCUUUUCCUUUUGGCACUCAGUCCAUCAAGUAAAAGCAAAGUCAAAAGCCUUGGCUUGACUUGGUGGACUGAGCUGUCAAUCAAAUGGCUCUGGGCGGGGCUUUCUGUCCAGGGUGAGUAAUCGUACCUGAUCACAGGAUUCCUGCUUGGCGAUAGCUCCUAGCCCGGCUAAACGGAAGUGAUGUUACCUUGGCGCUGAGAGGAAGUGCAGACAACGCAGUUUGCAAAUACACGAACGUGACACUUUCAGCGGAUCAGAGUAGCUGGAUUUCUCAAUGUUUGGACUCUGUAGCGGGAUAUGAAGAAGUCAGUAUCUCAGUUGGUCAGAGAAGAAGCUGACAGGCUGGAUGAGCAAGCACAUCCAAACACCCCGUCGCCGAGACAGUCGGAUUCAACGCUGUUAACAAGAGACCCCAUUGAUGGUAAGUAGUUAUUACUUCUUUUGUUGAGUUAUAGUAAAACUAGCCAGAAAGUGCAUUGUGCGACGCUGAAGUCAGCUUUUCAGCUUCCGAUUCGGCAGUUCAAUGAAUAGUCAAGGGGAACUUGAACACGGUUUUGUGAAAAGUAAAGAGUAUAUGCAACUGGAAGCUUCUGGUAACACUUCCUUCAUUGCUUUUCUCUAAAAGCUGAGGUGUCAAGACUUUUCUUGUCAUACCAGACCUCUUCACGGUCUCUGACCCCACGUCACAGGCCAAUGCUAUUUCCAAGAAGCUGUGCUGUUUCGUACUCACCACAGGUUUGAAUAUAGCUUCUGAUUACUGUUUAUAAGCAAACAUUGUAAAUCUACAUACAUGCAACAUUGCGUAACGUGAUUUUAAUUGUAAUUAUACAGCAACUUCUGGACUGCAUCAUUUGGCCAGUGGAAUCCGAUAGUGAUGAGGACACAAGUCUGGAGGAAAAGUGCCAUAUCUCUGGAUUUCUGAGAGAAUACAUUGAAAAUGGAACUUCUGAAGUUCUGGCAGGGGUGGAAGGUUCUUCCAAAAGAGCUGCAUGUGGAAAUUGUGCAUGGACAAAUGCCUCAGUCAAGCACAUGCAUGGAGACUCUUCGGCUGCCUUCACGCUAUAAGUCUUAUGAUGUUUUCUGUGAGGCUCUGAACGCAGCAGUCAGUUCUGUUCAAACAGGGUUUGGACUUGUUUAAAGUCACAACUUCAAGUGUUAUGCAGCCAAUUAAUGUUACCAAAAUGCAUAAAAUGUUAAAGCAGAUAUGUUUAGUUGUUUUGACAAUUGUUCUGAUGUGAUGUAAGCUUGUGAGGCAAAUGCAUGCUUCAGGAGAAGGUUCACAACAGUUCUUGUUUUUUCUGCUGCCAGGCUCAAAUUGUUGUGUGUGACAUUUAACAUGUAACAGAAAUGUGGCGGCCAGUGAGUUGUUGCAGGAAGACAGUUUAAAGGUGAGAGUUGAGAGAGUGAAUUAAUGGAGUAGCUUAUUUUUAUGUAAAAGAUUACAAACCUGAACUAUGGUUCAGGUUUGUGCAUUUCUGAACUGUGACAACAAAAUGUUUCCACACUUGGAGAAGACUGUGUUUGGGGAACAGUUGUAAUAUAAAUGUGUGGAAGUUAAAGAAAAGAAUUAUCAGUUCUGUUAAAAAAUGUUUUUUUUAUUGGCACAUUGUUUUAAUGCUUUCAAAUUAUUCAGCAUGCAAUAAAAGCAGUUUUGUAUCCCUUUGUUAUGUCUUGCUUUUUUACAUUUUUGUUUUCACAGGCAUUUAUUUGAAAUUCACAACUUGUCAUAAAAUUAUGCACCAAAAAUUUGCAGCAUUCUUUCAAGUCUUGUUCGACCAUUUCAAACGGUUUCAUUCUGAUCAUGUUAAGGUGAGUUGUGAUAGGCCUAGGUUUGUUGAAAAAUGUUCUUAAGAAUAUUGCUCUCAGCUCUCGUAGGAGGCGGUCGCACUUUUCCUUGCUCCGCUAUCUCUGUUCCUCCCUACCCUCAUGUCUCCCUGCUUGCUGCAUUUCUUCGUCUUCGUCUCGUUUGUCUGACUUGGAGCGAUUGCUUGGCACUGGACCUUUGAAACACCGAUCAUGGAAUUGAUUAACUGGUCUCUCAACGCAAUUGACAAGAUUGUCGCCACAAAGAGCACAGGCCUAGGGGAGCCUACCUGCCCGGAUGGGAGUUUCGCCUCUGGUUACGUGAUCGACGCCUGGGGGAAGUGGAAGGGGAUCAUGUGCCUGGCACCCCUAUCCGUGGAGGACGUGGAAGAUGUUUAUAUAUUUGGAUUUAUGAUGACAGGCCUGCUGAUAAUCGGCUUGUUCACUGGCCUGAGCUUCUGGAAAAUCAGGAAGACCGCAGACAGAAAUGACGUCCAAACUCUGCUGGUCUAUGCAAACGAACGGAUCAUGGCUGCCGAUUCUCGGUAUGACGAACUCAAUCGUAAGAUGAACAAUUUGCUUGGUGUGACUGUUGAUUUGAGUCGCAGAUUGGAAGCCAUUAGGGUGAGAAUCGCUACAGCUGAGGUCUAAAAUUGUUGAUGUAUGCCCGGAAGGUGAAAUUGUUCCUCUCUCCUGACCAAACAAGAAGGAAACUGAUUACAUUCUGGCGCCCCUGGAACAAUAACAAACUCCUCUGGAAGUUUCAUGGCCAAGAGAUAGCUCUCCUAAACCCCCCCCACUUUCCCAAGGACACCUGUUGACUUUUGGACCGGGCCAACCGAGGACGUCUCCAUAGCAACCUUGCUGUGUUAUCGCGCUCCCACCCUCGCGAAUCUGAGACACCGGAGGUCUGAGACGGAAGAAGAUGGGCUACACACAUACACAAACAUUCGGACUCAUGAACUGAGGACUGAGCUAAACAUUCGCACAGACAUUCCCAUAUCCCCCUCCCCCCCGCUUCCACAAGCUUCCCUCGCUAUGCACAGGAGCCAGGAAUCCGUGCACUUGCACAGGAACCGGCUAACUGUGCGGUGCUCCCCCCUCCACCACCCCACAUCCUUAUCCCAACUAUCCUUUUCUAACGUCAUGCUUUGCCUGUUUGUGGGUUUGUUUUUUUAGGUUCCUUCUCAAAUUGAAUUUCCCAACAUUGGAGGUUUCAUUUGGUACAACGAGCCUUUUUUUUCCUUUACCCUUUGCAAUCCCUACCCAGAUCCCAACAUGUCCUUUUUCUUUUUUUCUUCAAGAAAGGUGCGCGCAGCACUGCGCAGCAGCCGGAGCUGUCAUUGGCAGGGCAGCUCAAAUGAAAUUUCGUUGUAUAUGAAAAUGUGCAAUGACCAAUAAAGAUUGAUUGAUUGAUUGAUACACUGUAUCCAUGUAUGCCCGUAGUGCAGCAGAAAAAGGGACUGCCGGAUCAGACAAUGAUGUAACUUCAGCCUGGGUAAGCUGCUGGGGUAGUUGUGCAUCAGGUACAGUGACACCCUCUGGGUAUGGGGUGUGAGGUCCUGUCCAGUCUAUUCCAUAAUCAGCAGCAACCUGAAAGGAAAGCAUAAUUUGAAAGCAAGCCCUUUUAUUAAGAAAUGCACAUUCCUCAAGGAAAAAAAAAUUAAGAAGUAAAUGAGAUUAGGAACUACAUGGUAUGGCAAAACGGCAAGUGAACCGUCUAGUACCACAGCAGAAAUAAUAAAGUUAACAUAAAUAAAUAUAAAGGAAGACAGGAAGGUAGAGGUACAAGAGGGAAUUUGUACCUCAACUGGAUCAGC